GGAGGACAGCAGACUCAGGUC
RNAcentral lists this microRNA (21 nucleotides) under Rattus norvegicus (Norway rat). Its description in RNAcentral is "rno-miR-3569". The record is from miRBase by way of RNAcentral. Lineage: Eukaryota; Metazoa; Chordata; Mammalia; Rodentia; Muridae.